Molecule: ribosomal RNA, 485 nt
Filed under: uncultured bacterium
Lineage: Bacteria
Description: bacterial SSU rRNA
Rfam family: Bacterial small subunit ribosomal RNA (bases 1-346)
Source: RNAcentral
ACAUGCAGUCGAGCGGACCAGGAGCUGCUCCUGGGUGACGAGCGGCGGACGGGUGAGUAAUAGUCUAGGGAAACUAGCCUGAUGGAGGGGGAUAACUACUAGGAAACGGUAGCUAAUACCGCAUAACGUCUAUCGGACCAAAGUGGGGGACCUAUCGGGCCUCAUAGCCAUCAGAUGUGCCCAGAUGGGAUAUAGCUAGUAGGUGGGGUAACGGCUCACCUAGGCGACGAUCCCUAGCUAGGUCUGAGAGGAUAGACCAGCCACACUGGAACUAGAGACACGGUCCAGACUCCUACGGGAGGCAGCAGUGGGGAAUAUAGCACAAUGGGCGCAAGCCUUAGAUAGCAGCCAUAGCCGCGUGUAUAGAAGAAGGCCUAUCGGGGUANGUAAAAGUAACUUUCAGCGGAGGAGGGAAGGGCGAUAAAGGUUAAUAACCUAUGGUCGAUUGAACGUAAACUCGCAGAAAAAAAGCACCCGGGCUAAAC